Molecule: ribosomal RNA, 905 nt
Filed under: uncultured Mycobacteriales bacterium
Lineage: Bacteria; Bacillati; Actinomycetota; Actinomycetes; Mycobacteriales
Description: bacterial SSU rRNA
Rfam family: Bacterial small subunit ribosomal RNA
Source: RNAcentral
AGAGUUUGAUCAUGGCUCAGGACGAACGCUGGCGGCGUGCUUAACACAUGCAAGUCGAACGGUAAGGCCCUUCGGGGUACACGAGUGGCGAACGGGUGAGUAACACGUGGGUAAUCUGCCCUGCACAUCGGGAUAAGCCUGGGAAACUGGGUCUAAUACCGAAUAGGACCACAGGACACAUGUCCUGUGGUGGAAAGCUUUUGCGGUGUGGGAUGGGCCCGCGGCCUAUCAGCUUGUUGGUGGGGUGAUGGCCUACCAAGGCGACGACGGGUAGCCGGCCUGAGAGGGUGUCCGGCCACACUGGGACUGAGAUACGGCCCAGACUCCUACGGGAGGCAGCAGUGGGGAAUAUUGCACAAUGGGCGAAAGCCUGAUGCAGCGACGCCGCGUGGGGGAUGACGGCCUUCGGGUUGUAAACCUCUUUCACCAUCGACGAAGGUCCGGGUUUUCUCGGGCUGACGGUAGGUGGAGAAGAAGCACCGGCCAACUACGUGCCAGCAGCCGCGGUAAUACGUAGGGUGCGAGCGUUGUCCGGAAUUACUGGGCGUAAAGAGCUCGUAGGUGGUUUGUCGCGUUGUUCGUGAAAUCUCACGGCUUAACUGUGAGCGUGCGGGCGAUACGGGCAGACUUGAGUACUGCAGGGGAGACUGGAAUUCCUGGUGUAGCGGUGGAAUGCGCAGAUAUCAGGAGGAACACCGGUGGCGAAGGCGGGUCUCUGGGCAGUAACUGACGCUGAGGAGCGAAAGCGUGGGGAGCGAACAGGAUUAGAUACCCUGGUAGUCCACGCCGUAAACGGUGGGUACUAGGUGUGGGUUUCCUUCCUUGGGAUCCGUGCCGUAGCUAACGCAUUAAGUACCCCGCCUGGGGAGUACGGCCGCAAGGCUAAAACUCAAAGGAAUUGACGG